CAAUAGCGUAUAUUAAAGUUGUUGUAGUUAAAAAGCUCGUAGUUGGAUUUCUGGUAGGAGUGACCGUGCCAGACUUGAUUGUCUGUGUAUUGUGUUGUCUCCAGCCAUCCUUGUGGAGAACUUUUCUUGCAUUAAUUUGUAGGGAUUGGGACCCGCAUCGUUUACUGUGAAAAAAUUAGAGUGUUUAAAGCAGGCAAUCGCUUGAAUACAUUAGCAUGGAAUAAUAAGAUAGGACUUUGGUACUAUUUUGUUGGUUUGCAUACCAAAUUAAUGAUCAACAGGAACAGUUUGAGGAUAUUCGUAUGAACAUGUCAGAGGUGAAAUUCUUGGAUUUUGAUCAGACGAACUACUGCGAAAGCAUUUAUCAAGGAUGUUUUCAUUAA
Molecule: ribosomal RNA, 383 nt
Filed under: uncultured eukaryote
Lineage: Eukaryota
Description: partial 18S ribosomal RNA
Rfam family: Eukaryotic small subunit ribosomal RNA
Source: RNAcentral